This 328-nucleotide unclassified non-coding RNA is filed under the name soil metagenome. Its description in RNAcentral is "partial contains 5.8S ribosomal RNA, internal transcribed spacer 2, and large subunit ribosomal RNA". The stretch from base 5 to 119 matches the Rfam family "5.8S ribosomal RNA", at positions 40 to 154 of the family's 154-position model. The record is from RNAcentral.
GAUGAGAACGCAGCGAAAUGCGAUAAGUAAUGUGAAUUGCAGAAUUCAGUGAAUCAUCGAAUCUUUGAACGCACAUUGCGCCCCCUGGCAUUCCGGGGGGCAUGCCUGUUCGAGCGUCAUUACAACCCUCAAGCUCUGCUUGGUAUUGGGCUCUGCUGGGACCGGCAGGCCUUAAAAUCAGUGGCGGCGCCACUCGGCUUCAAGCGUAGUAAUUCUUCUCGCUUCGGAGACCCGGGUGCGUGCUAGCCAGCAACCCCCAACUUUCUUAGGUUGACCUCGGAUCAGGUAGGGAUACCCGCUGAACUUAAGCAUAUCAAUAAGCGGAGGA